UACGGAGGAUGCGAGCGUUAUCCGGAAUCAUUGGGUUUAAAGGGUCUGUAGGCGGGCUAAUAAGUCAGAGGUGAAAGCGCUCAGCUCAACUGAGCAACUGCCUUUGAAACUGUUGGUCUUGAAUGGUUGUGAAGUAGUUGGAAUGUGUAGUGUAGCGGUGAAAUGCUUAGAUAUUACACAGAACACCGAUAGCGAAGGCAUAUUACUAACAAUUGAUUGACGCUGAUGGACGAAAGCGUGGGGAGCGAACAGG
This 253-nucleotide ribosomal RNA is filed under the name uncultured bacterium. RNAcentral describes it as "partial 16S ribosomal RNA". It matches the Rfam family "Bacterial small subunit ribosomal RNA", at positions 524 to 776 of the family's 1533-position model. The record is from RNAcentral.